ACGGGUGAGUAAUAUAUAGUUAAUCUGCCUCAAAGAAGAGAAUAAUUGUUAGAAACGACUUGUAACUCUCUAUAUGCCUUUAUUACAUAAGUAAGCAAGGGAAACAUUUAUGGCUUUGAGAUGAGACUGUACAGUAUCAGUUAGUUGGUGAGGUAAUGGCUCACCAAGACAAUGACACUUAACUGGUUUGAGAGGAUGAUCAGUCACACUGGAACUGUGACACGGUCCAGACUCCUACGGGAGGCAGCAGUGGGGAAUAUUGCACAAUGGAGGAAACUCUGAUGCAGCAACGCCGCGUGGAGGAUGACACAUUUCGGUGCGUAAACUCCUUUUAUAUGAGAAGAUAAUGACGGUAUCAUAUGAAUAAGCACCGGCUAACUCCGUGCCAGCAGCCGCGGUAAUACGGGGGGUGCAAGCGUUACUCGGAAUCACUGGGCGUAAAGAGCAUGUAGGCUGAUAGAUAAGUUGGAAGUGAAAUCCUAUGGCUUAACCAUAGAACUGCUUCCAAAACUGUCUGUCUAGAGUAUGGGAGAGGUAGAUGGAAUUUCUGGUGUAGGGGUAAAAUCCGUAGAGAUCAGAAGGAAUACCGAUUGCGAAGGCGAUCUACUGGAACAUUACUGACGCUGAGAUGCGAAAGCGUGGGGAGCAAACAGGAUUAGAUACCCUGGUAGUCCACGCCCUAAACGAUGCACACUAGUUGUUGCUAUGCUAGACAUAGCAGUAAUGCAGUUAACACAGUAAGUGUGCCGCCUGGGGAGUACGGUCGCAAGAUUAAAACUCAAAGGAAUAGACGGGGACCCGCACAAGCGGUGGAGCAUGUGGUUUAAUUCGACGAUACGCGAAGAACCUUACCUGGCCUUGACAUAGAAAGAACUUACUAGAGAUAGUUUGGUGCUAGCUUGCUAGAACUUUCAUACAGGUGCUGCACGGCUGUCGUCAGCUCGUGUCGUGAGAUGUUGGGUUAAGUCCCGCAACGAGCGCAACCCUCGUGUUUAGUUACUAACAGUUCGGCUGAGGACUCUAGACAGACUGCCUACGCAAGUAGGAGGAAGGUGAGGACGACGUCAAGUCAUCAUGGCCCUUACGGCCAGGGCUACACACGUGCUACAAUGGGGCAUACAAAGAGCAGCAAUACGGUGACGUGGAGCAAAUCUCAUAAAAUGCCUCCCAGUUCGGAUUGUAGUCUGCAACUCGA
This 1195-nucleotide ribosomal RNA is filed under the name uncultured bacterium. RNAcentral describes it as "bacterial SSU rRNA". It matches the Rfam family "Bacterial small subunit ribosomal RNA", at positions 102 to 1315 of the family's 1533-position model. The record is from RNAcentral.